This 429-nucleotide ribosomal RNA is filed under the name Gemmatimonadota bacterium. Its description in RNAcentral is "Gemmatimonadetes bacterium partial 16S ribosomal RNA". It matches the Rfam family "Bacterial small subunit ribosomal RNA", at positions 355 to 776 of the family's 1533-position model. Lineage: Bacteria; Pseudomonadati; Gemmatimonadota. The record is from RNAcentral.
UAGGGAAUCUUCGGCAAUGGACGAAAGUCUGACCGAGCAACGCCGCGUGAGUGAAGAAGGUUUUCGGAUCGUAAAACUCUGUUGUUAGAGAAGAACAAGGACGUUAGUAACUGAACGUCCCCUGACGGUAUCUAACCAGAAAGCCACGGCUAACUACGUGCCAGCAGCCGCGGUAAUACGUAGGUGGCAAGCGUUGUCCGGAUUUAUUGGGCGUAAAGCGAGCGCAGGCGGUUUCUUAAGUCUGAUGUGAAAGCCCCCGGCUCAACCGGGGAGGGUCAUUGGAAACUGGGGGACUUGAGUGCAGAAGAGGAGAGUGGAAGUCCAUGUGUAGCGGUGAAAUGCGUAGAUAUAUGGGGGAACACCAGUGGCGAAGGCGGCUCUCUGGUCUGUAACUGACGCUGAGGCUCGAAAGCGUGGGGAGCAAACAGG